AGAUUAAGCAAAGAAGAGCGCAGGGUGGAUGCCUUGGCACUAAGAGCCGAAGAAAGACGUGAUAAGCUGCGAAAAGCUGCGGGGAGAUGCAAAUAAUCCUUGAUCCGCAGAUGUCUGAAUGGGGAAACCCGGUACGAAGAACUCGUAUCAUCAUACGCCAAUCCAUAACGUAUGGAGGGGAACCCGGUGAACUGAAACAUCUAAGUAGCCGGAGGAAGAGAAAGAAACAUCGAUUUUGUUAGUAGCGGCGAGCGAAAGCGAAAGAGGCCAAACCGGAGUGCGUGCACUCCGGGGUUCGGACCGCAUUUAAGAUUCAGUGAUUCUAGCAGAAAGGUUUGGGAAAGCCUGCCGGAGAGGGUGAAAGCCCCGUAAGCGAAAGGAAAGCUGACUGAGCGGGAUCCAGAGUACAUCGAGACACGAGAAACCUUGAUGGAAUGAGCGGGGACCACCCCGUAAGCCUAAAUACUACUUAGUGACCGAUAGCGCAUAGUACUGUGAAGGAAAGGUGAAAAGGACCCCGGGAGGGGAGUGAAAGAGAACCUGAAACCCUGUGUUUACAAGCUGUGGAAGUUCUUUAAAUGAACAACCGCGUACUUUUUGUAGAACGGUCCGGCGAGUUGCGGAUACUGGCAAGGUUAAGCACUUAAGGUGCGGAGCCGAAGGGAUACCAAGUCUUAACAGGGCGUUAAGUCAGUAUACGCAGACCCGAAACCGGGUGAUCUAUCCAUGUCCAGGUUGAAGUUGUCGUAAAAGACAAUGGAGGACCGAAGCCACAUCCGUUGAAAAGGGUGGGCAUGAGGUGUGGAUAGGGGAGAAAUUCCAAUCGAACCCGGAGAUAGCUGGUUCUCCUCGAAAUAGCUUUAGGGCUAGCCUCGAUUUAGUCUUAUGGAGGUAGAGCACUGAAUUUCCGCGGGGGCGUCAAAGCUUACCAAAGAAUAUCAAACUCCGAAUGCCAUGUAGAUGAUGAUCGGGAGUCAGACUGCACGAGAUAAGUUGGGCAGUCAAAAGGGAAAGAGCCCAGACCACCGGCUAAGGUCCCAAAGUGCGUGUUAAGUGGAAAAGGAUGUGGGAAUUCGAAGACAACUAGGAUGUUGGCUCAGAAGCAGCCAUACAUUCAAAGAGUGCGUAACAGCUCACUAGUCGAGAGUUCCUGCGCCGAAAAUGUCCGGGGCUGAAACACGACACCGAAGCCGUGGACUCGCAAUGCGAGUGGUAGAGGAGCAUUCUUAAAACCGACGAAGCUGUACCGAAAGGAGCAGUGGAGGGAUAAGAAGAGAGAAUGCCGGAAUGAGUAGCGAGAGAAAGGUGGGAAUCCUUUCGGCCGAAUAUCUAAGGUUUCCAGAGUAAAGCUGAUCUGCUCUGGGUAAGUCGGGGCCUAAGCACAGGUCGCAAGACGUAAGCGAUGGAUAACAGGUUUAGAUUCCUGUACCACGCAUUAUCAGAACUGUAGGGACGCAUGUGGAAAGCACGAGCCGGGAAUGGAAAGACCGGUACAAGCGGGGUAGGUGUACAAUAGGCAAAUCCGUUGUAUAAUCCGAAGACGUGAUGUGGAGCGAAAUAAAGUAGUGAAGCGUGUGAGCCAUGUGCCGAGAAAAGCUGCUAUUGUGUAAUGCGUGCCCGUACCGUAAACCGACACAGGUGGAUGAGGAGAGAAUCCUAAGGCCGACGGAAGAAGCAUUGUUAAGGAAUUCGGCAAAAUGACCCCGUAACUUCGGGAGAAGGGGUGCCUGCGAGAGCAGGCCGCAGAGAAUAGGCUCAAGCAACUGUUUAGCAAAAACACAGGUCUAUGCGAAACCGAAAGGUGAAGUAUAUGCUGACGCCUGCCCGGUGCUGGAAGGUUAAGAGGAGAGGUUAGCGUAAGCGAAGCUUUGAAUUUAAGCCCCAGUAAACGGCGGCCGUAACUAUAACGGUCCUAAGGUAGCGAAAUUCCUUGUCGGGUAAGUUCCGACCCGCACGAAAGGCGUAAUGAUUUGAGCACUGUCUCGACAAUGCAUCCGGUGAAAUUGAAGUACCAGUGAAGAUGCUGGUUACCCGCGCCAGGACGGAAAGACCCCAUGGAGCUUUACUCCAGUUUGAUACUGGGAUUCGGUACUGCAUGUACAGGAUAGGUGGGAGACGAAGAAGGAUGGACGCCAGUCUGUCCGGAGUCGCUGUUGGGAUACCACCCUGUAGUACUGGGUUUCUAACCAGUUGCCAUGAACUGGCAAUGGGACAAUGUCAGGCGGGGAGUUUGACUGGGGCGGUCGCUCCGAAAGGGUAUCGGAGGCGCUCAAAGGUUCCCUCAGAAUGGUUGGAAACCAUUUGAAGAGUGCAAAGGCAGAAGGGAGCUUGACUGCGACACCGACGGGUGGAGCAGGUACGAAAGUAGGACUUAGUGAUCCGGUGGUAUAAAGUGGGAUUGCCAUCGCUCAACGGAUAAAAGCUACCCUGGGGAUAACAGGCUUAUCACUCCCAAGAGUUCACAUCGACGGAGUGGUUUGGCACCUCGAUGUCGGCUCAUCGCAUCCUGGGGCUGUAGCAGGUCCCAAGGGUUGGGCUGUUCGCCCAUUAAAGCGGUACGCGAGCUGGGUUCAGAACGUCGUGAGACAGUUCGGUCCCUAUCCGGCGCGGGCGGAGGAUAUUUGAGAGGAGCUGUCCUUAGUACGAGAGGACCGGGAUGGACGGACCACUGGUGUAUCUGUUGUCGACCAACGGCAUGGCAGAGUAGCCAAGUCUGGAAGGGAUAAACGCUGAAGGCAUCUAAGCGUGAAGCCCCCCUCAAGAUGAGAUAUCCCUCCUAUAUGGAGUAAGACCCCUUGAAGACUACAAGGUAGAUAGGGCAGAGGUGGAAGCAUGGCAACAUGUGGAGCUGACUGUUACUAAUAGGUCGAGGGCUUAAUCUG
RNAcentral lists this ribosomal RNA (2882 nucleotides) under Agathobacter rectalis. Its description in RNAcentral is "[Eubacterium] rectale 23S ribosomal RNA". It matches the Rfam family "Bacterial large subunit ribosomal RNA". Lineage: Bacteria; Bacillati; Bacillota; Clostridia; Lachnospirales; Lachnospiraceae. The record is from RNAcentral.